UGGGGAAUAUUGCACAAUGGGGGAAACCCUGAUGCAGCGACGCCGCGUGAGCGAGGAAGUAUUUCGGUAUGUAAAGCUCUGUCAGCGGGGAAGAAAGAAAUGACGGUACCCGACCAAGAAGCACCGGCUAAAUACGUGCC
Molecule: ribosomal RNA, 140 nt
Filed under: uncultured bacterium
Lineage: Bacteria
Description: partial 16S ribosomal RNA
Rfam family: Bacterial small subunit ribosomal RNA
Source: RNAcentral